Molecule: long non-coding RNA, 214 nt
Filed under: Actinidia chinensis (golden kiwifruit)
Lineage: Eukaryota; Viridiplantae; Streptophyta; Magnoliopsida; Ericales; Actinidiaceae
Description: long non-coding RNA (ACHI_LNC000688)
Source: RNAcentral
AAACUGAGGGUCUGGUGGAAUUGUGGGAGUUGCUGCCUUGGUUCUUUUGGAAGCUGUCGUAUACUUCUUGUUGCCUUGUUUGCUGAAGCUUGUGAUUUACCCGCUGCCCUGCUGGUUGUGUGCUACUGUUAGUUUUGGUUUUGCAAGUUUUUUUUCUUUUCUUAUUCUAGUUGUAUUCUUUCAGUGGUAUUGUUUGUUUUUUCCCUUGGUUUAU